CCCUUAGAUGUUCUGGGCCGCACGCGCGCUACACUGAUGCAUUCAACGAGCCUAUCCUUGACCGACAGGUCCGGGUAAUCUUUGAAUCUGCAUCGUGACGGGGAUAGAUUAUUGCAAUUAUUAAUCUUCAACGAGGAAUGCCUCGUAGGCGCAAGUCAUCAGCUUGCGUCGAUUACGUCCCUGCCCUUUGUACACACCGCCCGUCGCUCCUACCGAUUGGGUGUGCUGGUGAAAUGUUCGGAUCGGCCGUUUGUCGCGGUUUCCGCGGCUCGUGGCUGAGAAGUUCAUUAAACCCUCCCACCUAGAGGAAGGAGAAGUCGUAACA
RNAcentral lists this ribosomal RNA (325 nucleotides) under uncultured eukaryote. RNAcentral describes it as "partial 18S ribosomal RNA". It matches the Rfam family "Eukaryotic small subunit ribosomal RNA", at positions 1470 to 1796 of the family's 1831-position model. The record is from RNAcentral.